AUGGUGGACUAUAAAAUAAUGGGAUCAAAAUUAGGUUCAACAUCGUCAAGGACAAGAACACCUGAAUCCAGAGAAGAUGACUAUCUGAUAGUAAUCCCCUAUUCCCACAUAUUUGGGCUUAUGUUGGAAGCUUUAAAAUUGCCCCCUACAAUUUACCAUCACAAGAUACGUCCGGGUGGCAAGGUCACUUUCAAUUCUUCCUUAGAGCAGCUUGAUGGUUUGCUUGUUUUUACCUCAAUAUCUGGUAUGGUUUCACAUACCUAUGAAGAUGCAGAAGACAGUGCCGCUAUAAAAGCUAUUAGAUAUAUGGAAAAUGCGUGUGGGAAAGAAAUUAGAGACUACCACUACACCCAUGUCAUAAUGCUUCAAAAUCAAGUUAGGCAUUUGGUCACGUGGUUGUUGGAAGGAAAUGAGACUAUCAAGAAACUACGCAAAGGCUGGUACUAUGCUGUUAGGUAUAUGAGCUCAUAUUCUGACCAGAUACAGAACUCAACAACCGCUCAGCACCUAAGAGGGCAAGCUAAUACCAAAGGGAUUAUGAAAUCAGCGCUGGCAGGCAUUGAGGAACUGACACAGAGGUUACAUUAUAUUGGAGUGAAGUCAGAGGAGAUGACUAUUAAAGAU
RNAcentral lists this ribosomal RNA (624 nucleotides) under Triticum aestivum (bread wheat). RNAcentral describes it as "partial small subunit ribosomal RNA". Lineage: Eukaryota; Viridiplantae; Streptophyta; Magnoliopsida; Poales; Poaceae. The record is from RNAcentral.